AAGUCAUAAUAGCUCAAUGGUAGAGCUAUGCACUGUUAAUGCAUUGAUCUUAGUUCGAUUCUAAGUUAUGACGAUAGAAUGUA
Molecule: transfer RNA, 83 nt
Filed under: Candida viswanathii
Lineage: Eukaryota; Fungi; Ascomycota; Pichiomycetes; Serinales; Debaryomycetaceae
Description: tRNA-Asn
Rfam family: tRNA (bases 3-73)
About the family: Transfer RNA (tRNA) molecules are approximately 80 nucleotides in length.
Source: RNAcentral